Molecule: ribosomal RNA, 468 nt
Filed under: uncultured bacterium
Lineage: Bacteria
Description: partial 16S ribosomal RNA
Rfam family: Bacterial small subunit ribosomal RNA
Source: RNAcentral
GACGAACGCUGGCGGCGUGCUUAACACGUGCAAGUCGAACGGAAAGGCCCUGCUUUUGUGGGGUGCUCGAGUGGCGAACGGGUGAGUAACACGUGAGUAACCUGCCCUUGACUUUGGGAUAACUUCAGGAAACUGGGGCUAAUACCGGAUAGGAGCUCCUGCUGCAUGGUGGGGGUUGGAAAGUUUCGGCGGUUGGGGAUGAACUCGCGGCUUAUCAGCUUGUUGGUGGGGUAGUGGCUUACCAAGGCUUUGACGGGUAGCCGGCCUGAGAGGGUGACCGGCCACAUUGGGACUGAGAUACGGCCCAGACUCCUACGGGAGGCAGCAGUGGGGAAUAUUGCACAAUGGGCGGAAGCCUGAUGCAGCAACGCCGCGUGCGGGAUGACGGCCUUCGGGUUGUAAACCGCUUUCGCCUGUGACGAAGCGUGAGUGACGGUAAUGGGUAAAGAAGCACCGGCUAACUACGUG